Molecule: long non-coding RNA, 753 nt
Filed under: Cavia porcellus (domestic guinea pig)
Lineage: Eukaryota; Metazoa; Chordata; Mammalia; Rodentia; Caviidae
Description: lncRNA (ENSCPOG00000030613.1)
Source: RNAcentral
GUCCGGCCCUCACAGCGCCACCCACAGGCCACCGCUGGCAGUGUCGCCAGUCAUCACCGUGCAGGAGGCGGCCAGGUUUAACCCACGCUGCCUAGGUUGGCAGCCUCAGGCAGAGCUGUGCUCCCCGGGCAGCCUACUGAACCUCUCCGUCUCAGUUUCCUCCUCUGCGGAUCAGAAAAAAGACCUGGAGUUGUUUAAAAUAUCUGCCCAGCUGGGUCGCUUUGAGGAACGCGCAGGGGAGUGCGCGUUCACCACGUGCUGCUCAGCACAGGGUGCUGGGCACUGGCACGCGGGCUUCCCGCCCUCACCUCCCAAGGGAGCCGGGGAACCACAGAGGUCACGGAUGGCCUCUCCAUAAAGGGCUCUUGAGGGAUUAAACAACGGAACGGCGCCGGCACGCGCUCAGCCCAGGGCACAUGGGCCACCUUCCGGGCCCCUGACCUCGCACAGGGUGCAUCGCCCACCGUCCUGGGAGCCACAUGCCCCACCCCACAGCACGGGGCUCCUCAGCCCGCUCUGCACAGAGGGCUCCUCUGGAGACCCCCACGGCGCGGCAAGGACGCCCUGGCUGCAGAAGUCCAGGCAGAGGCGCUGACUGAGCUCUGUUUUGACCAGCGCAGACUCUGCCUGUCUCUGAGUGCGGCUGCCUCAUCGCAAAGACUCAGAGGUCUGCGGUCUGUCACAGGACAAUCCUACAUCAUCUUGGGGACAGGGACAGGAAGGCUGGAUCCAGCAGAUUCCAAGAACUGGUGA